AGCAGCCGCGGUAAUUCCAGCUCCAAUAGCGUAUAUUAAAGUUGUUGCAGUUAAAAAGCUCGUAGUUGAAUUUCGGGAUUGACACAUCGGUCGUGCCUUAAGGGGUAUGAACUGGUGUAGUCAAUUUCUCACCUUCUGGAGAACCGCGAUGCCCUUAAUUGGGUGUCGCGGGGAACCAGGACCUUUACUUUGAAAAAAUUAGAGUGUUUAAAGCAGGCAUUUUGCUUGAAUACAUUAGCAUGGAAUAAUAAAAUAGGACGGCAUGAUUCUAUUUUGUUGGUUUCUAGGAUCACCGUAAUGAUUAAUAGGGAUAGUUGGGGGCAUUAGUAUUCAAUUGUCAGAGGUGAAAUUCUUGGAUUUAUUGAAGACUAACUACUGCGAAAGCAUUUGCCAAGGAUGUUUUCAUUAAUCAAGAACGAAAGUUAGGGGAUCGAAGACGAUCAGAUACCGUCGUAGUCUUAACCAUAAACUAUGCCGACUAGGAAUCAGACGAUGUUAAUUUUUAAUGUACUCGUUUGGC
This 520-nucleotide small RNA is filed under the name uncultured Entrophospora. RNAcentral describes it as "SSU rRNA". It matches the Rfam family "Eukaryotic small subunit ribosomal RNA", at positions 569 to 1084 of the family's 1831-position model. Lineage: Eukaryota; Fungi; Glomeromycota; Glomeromycetes; Entrophosporales; Entrophosporaceae. The record is from RNAcentral.